CCUACGGGGGGCUGCAGUGGGGAAUAUUGGACAAUGGGGGGAACCCUGAUCCAGCCAUGCCGCGUGUGUGAAGAAGGCCCUCGGGUUGUAAAGCACUUUCAGUGAGGAAGAACGCCUGGUGGUUAAUACCCAUCAGGAAAGACAUCACUCACAGAAGAAGCACCGGCUAACUCCGUGCCAGCAGCCGCGGUAAUACGGAGGGUGCGAGCGUUAAUCGGAAUUACUGGGCGUAAAGCGCGCGUAGGUGGCUUGAUAAGCCGGUUGUGAAAGCCCCGGGCUCAACCUGGGAGCGGCAUCCGGAACUGUCAAGCUAGAGUGCAGGAGAGGAAGGUAGAAUUCCCGGUGUAGCGGUGAAAUGCGUAGAGAUCGGGAGGAAUACCAGUGGCGAAGGCGGCCUUCUGGACUGACACUGACACUGAGGUGCGAAAGCGUGGGUAGCAAACAGGAUUAGAUACCCUGGUAGUC
This 465-nucleotide ribosomal RNA is filed under the name Vreelandella stevensii. RNAcentral describes it as "partial 16S ribosomal RNA". It matches the Rfam family "Bacterial small subunit ribosomal RNA", at positions 338 to 795 of the family's 1533-position model. Lineage: Bacteria; Pseudomonadati; Pseudomonadota; Gammaproteobacteria; Oceanospirillales; Halomonadaceae. The record is from RNAcentral.